GCUUUUUUUUCUAAAAAAUGUAAAAAAAAAAAAAAAAAAAAAAAAAAAAAAUCAAUAGUAUAGCAUGUUAGGUAUGUUAGGAAUGUUAGCCAAGUAUAGUGCGUGAUGAAAAGAUUUCGUGAUAAGUCAGGAUGUUAGCAGUGGACUUUUCACCAUCAUUUGAAAAGUAAAUGGUUACGUCACAAUAUAUAGUUUCAGUGCCUUGCUUUUGGCACACUUCAGCACAGUGGAAGCUUGAGAGUAAAACCAGGUCUUCUGGUUCAGGGCCAGUCUCCCAAAUCACUGUACCAACCUGCUGUAUGGAGUAUAAUCAUUUGCAUUGAACACAAUUGUAUGAAUCAUAAAUCUUUAAUAAAUAAAUAAAAUUAAAUGUUAUCAGAUCUCAACCCUGUUUAAGCUGCAUUGAAAAGGUGAACUAUCUGCUGCUCUUAAAGCUUCUGAGCUCAAUAUACAAAGUGAAUCCUUUGGUUUAUUUCCAUUGCUUAUUUCAUUUUUCAUUUCAUUUCAAAAUUUAUUUCAAGCAUGUAGAAUACAAAAAAA
Sebastes umbrosus (honeycomb rockfish) is the source of this 540-nucleotide long non-coding RNA. RefSeq lists it as uncharacterized. The record is from RefSeq and is a predicted model, not a curated record. NCBI's taxonomy places the organism in Eukaryota, Metazoa, Chordata, Actinopteri, Perciformes, Sebastidae. The transcript has 4 exons.